Molecule: transfer RNA, 74 nt
Filed under: Pterocladia mexicana
Lineage: Eukaryota; Rhodophyta; Florideophyceae; Gelidiales; Pterocladiaceae
Also listed under: 1 other name
Description: tRNA-Asn
Rfam family: tRNA
About the family: Transfer RNA (tRNA) molecules are approximately 80 nucleotides in length. Their secondary structure includes four short double-helical elements and three loops (D, anti-codon, and T loops).
Source: RNAcentral
UUCCUGAUAGCUUAGUCGGUGAAAGCGAGUAGCUGUUAACUACUAGAUCGUAGGUUCGAAUCCUACUCAGGAAG